Malus domestica (apple) is the source of this 843-nucleotide non-coding RNA. The record is from RefSeq and is a predicted model, not a curated record. Lineage: Eukaryota; Viridiplantae; Streptophyta; Magnoliopsida; Rosales; Rosaceae.
UCGGUUUUGGGUUUUCAAAACCGCACCGAAACCGAAACCGAAACCGCACAUUUUUAUUUUUAUUUAGUUCAUUCAACUAGGUUAUACUUAUACAUUUGGUUUUGCGAUUCUGGGUUUGCACCGAGUGGGUUUGUAGUUUCAGUGACUGCUUCUGCGCCGCCUCCUUGCAUCUCCGCAUCUGCCUUUGCGACCUGGUCACCUGACUGCUUGCUUGCAUCUGCUUCUGCCUGCCUGCCUGCCUGCGAGCGAGUCGCAACUGCUUCUGCAUCUGCUUCUGCGGCUGCCUGCGAGCGACUGCUUCUGCUUGUGACCUCACUGAGUCACUGAGUCACUGCUUGCUUUCAUCUCUGCCUUGCCUCCAAUCUUGGAGUCAACACACCCAGAGAGUUGGCCAAAUCGACUUCAAGCAUUGUCUCUCUUACUCUUGAUCAAGAACCACAACAAGCUCCAAAGCAAUCUCAAGGUUCUAAUUUACAAGAGCCUCCCCUUAUGCGUUUACAAAGUGCAAGGUCUUCACAAGCUCAAAGGUCUCCUAAACCUUCAAAGAAUAAGUGUCUAAAAGGAAAAGGAAAGGUAAAGGUUUGAAACUUGAACGAUGCAAAGUAAGUUGAAAACCAAGAUUUUGUUGAAUUCCAUGAACCAUUUAUUUUUUUGGUUGUACUAAUGCCAUAAGGCAUUUGACAUUGAACUUUGUUUGAAACUUUGAAGUUUGAACUUUAGUUGUAUUAUGGCAAACUUAACUUUUCAAUUGGGUUGUAGUAAGCUAUUGUGAUUGAUUGGUGAUCAAGUUGAAUUUUAGUAGAUGUGAAUUAUGUGAUGCGUUUUUUGGUGCAGUUUUGUGCA